GACUAACAAGUGAUUCAAAACCCUAUUUCUCUUCUAUAUCCGUAAACCCCUGUUCUCAAAACCCUAUUUUUGUUAUGUGUCUAUAAACCCGUUUUCUCAAACCCUAGUUCUCUUCGUAUCUUCAAAAUCCCUUUUCUUCAUAACCCUAUUUUCGAUUUCAAUUCUCAUCAGAAGUCCUUCAGGUGCAGAUUAAUCUUCAGAAGAGGUGCAGUAAUUUCUCAAAGAUCUU
Papaver somniferum (opium poppy) is the source of this 229-nucleotide long non-coding RNA. RefSeq lists it as uncharacterized. The record is from RefSeq and is a predicted model, not a curated record. The transcript is spliced from 3 exons. Lineage: Eukaryota; Viridiplantae; Streptophyta; Magnoliopsida; Ranunculales; Papaveraceae.